AACGAACGCUGGCGGCAUGCCUAACACAUGCAAGUCGAACGAGACCUUCGGGUCUAGUGGCGCACGGGUGCGUAACGCGUGGGAACCUGCCCUUAGGUUCGGAAUAACUCCCCGAAAGGGGUGCUAAUACCGGAUAAUGUCUUCGGACCAAAGAUUUAUCGCCUUUGGAUGGGCCCGCGUUGGAUUAGCUAGUUGGUAGGGUAAAAGCCUACCAAGGCGACGAUACAUAGCUGGUCUGAGAGGAUGAUCAGCCACACUGGGACUGAGACACGGCCCAGACUACUACGGGAGGAAGCAGUGGGGAAUAUUGGACAAUGGGCGAAAGCCUGAUCCAGCAAUGCCGCGUGAGUGAUGAAGGCCUUAGGGUUGUAAAGCUCUUUUACCCGGGAUGAUAAUGACAGUACCGGGAGAAUAAGCUCCGGCUAACUCCGUG
This 433-nucleotide ribosomal RNA is filed under the name uncultured bacterium. Its description in RNAcentral is "partial 16S ribosomal RNA". It matches the Rfam family "Bacterial small subunit ribosomal RNA", at positions 29 to 507 of the family's 1533-position model. The record is from RNAcentral.